Long non-coding RNA from Culex quinquefasciatus (southern house mosquito), 589 nucleotides. RefSeq lists it as uncharacterized. NCBI's taxonomy places the organism in Eukaryota, Metazoa, Arthropoda, Insecta, Diptera, Culicidae. The transcript is spliced from 2 exons. The record is from RefSeq and is a predicted model, not a curated record.
GUGAAACAAACAGAAACUUAAUCACAGCGCACUGGUACAGAUUGGUGGGGUGCUGGAAUGAGGCGCCUGCAAAAACAAAUUCCUGAAUGAAAUGGUGAUGAUCUGGAAUUGUUCGGUAUCACCAAAGAGGAAACCCUGCCGUGCACACAUCCCGGCGCCCACCGUGUCAACUGACAGUUAAACGUCAGAAACGUCAUCCACGAACCGCGCGCGCAAUGCGCUCGCGUCAGAGCACGUCCAACCGCCAACGAGGCAACACACAACAGUCGCAACAGAAAAAAGAUCGGAAGUGAAGAAGAAGUGCAUUGUAGUGAGAAGUAGGAGAGGAAGAAGAAGGAGAAAACAAAACAAGAAAAUCCAAAGUUCCACUGUUUUUCCUCCCUACUGCGGUUCCACUGCAAAUCCGCCAACAACCCGAAAUACAGUCCACUACCCAUAAUCGGCCAGCCCCGAACAGGAAUCAUAUGGUUGUACAAAAGAUUGUAGCUGCAAGUAGAACCAAAAAAUCGUGCGUUGAAAUAUUUCUAAUUUUAAUAAAACUUGAUCAUAAAUGAUUCGUUGACUGUAAUUAUAUGGUACAUGCAAGCUA